GUCCUUCCGGGGAGGCAGCAGUGGGGAAUAUUGGACAAUGGGCGCAAGCCUGAUCCAGCCAUACCGCGUGGGUGAAGAAGGCCUUCGGGUUGUAAAGCCCUUUUGUUGGGAAAGAAAUCCAGCUGGUUAAUACCCGGUUGGGAUGACGGUACCCAAAGAAUAAGCACCGGCUAACUUCGUGCCAGCAGCCGCGGUAAUACGAAGGGUGCAAGCGUUACUCGGAAUUACUGGGCGUAAAGCGUGCGUAGGUGGUCGUUUAAGUCCGUUGUGAAAGCCCUGGGCUCAACCUGGGAACUGCAGUGGAUACUGGGCGACUAGAGUGUGGUAGAGGGUAGCGGAAUUCCUGGUGUAGCAGUGAAAUGCGUAGAGAUCAGGAGGAACAUCCAUGGCGAAGGCAGCUACCUGGACCAACACUGACACUGAGGCACGAAAGCGUGGGGAGCAAACAGGAUUAGAUACCCUGGUAGUCCACGCCCUAAACGAUGCGAACUGGAUGUUGGGUGCAAUUUGGCACGCAGUAUCGAACGCUAACGCGUAGAGUUUCGC
RNAcentral lists this ribosomal RNA (546 nucleotides) under Stenotrophomonas maltophilia. RNAcentral's name for it is "bacterial SSU rRNA". It matches the Rfam family "Bacterial small subunit ribosomal RNA", at positions 333 to 869 of the family's 1533-position model. The record is from RNAcentral. Lineage: Bacteria; Pseudomonadati; Pseudomonadota; Gammaproteobacteria; Lysobacterales; Lysobacteraceae.